This 2368-nucleotide long non-coding RNA is filed under the name Octopus vulgaris (common octopus). Lineage: Eukaryota; Metazoa; Mollusca; Cephalopoda; Octopoda; Octopodidae. The record is from RNAcentral.
AACUGUUGGACAAGUUUUAUUACCUGAAUUGAAAACCAACAUGAGUUAGAAGAGAGAAAUUUGAGUUCAAAUUGACACUUUAAAAUAAAAGCUUGAACAAAAUCUUAUAGUGACACUGAAAUUGCAGUGAAACUAUGUCUACAUUUGGUUUAAAUCAAUGAUGGCUUGACAGGUUUAAUAACAAAUGGAAACAAAUUGAUAAAUGUUUAAAAUUUACAUCAGUUUCAAAACCUCUAUCAUUUAUAAUAUACAACUUUUCUUUUUAAUUCAUCAAUGCCCAUUGUUCAACAGACAAAUAAUCAACAACUUUUAUAAAAGAAAAAGGAUGGGGCCUGAUUCUGUAUAAUAACAGCACAAUCUAGCAACAUCUACAAAAAUAAAUGCAUCCAUAAAACAAUCCAUAGGGUUUCUUUUUUAAAAUAAAAUAAAAAUAAAAUUGACUGUAAAGGGUGAAAACAGUUAACAUUGAUUGAAGAUAGAUUUCAGACAGAGAAUAAUAGUUUUGCUUCUAACAAUUAAUUAACCCAUAUUCAGACAAACUUAUGUAAACUGAUUAUAUUAUUGGUUUAUUUCAGAAAUAGGGUUAUAUAAAUCAAAUAGUCAAUAUAAUCUUUUUUUCUUUUUCCAUUUUAUAUAAGAAAAUCAUUUUUUAAUUGAAAUUCUUUUCAAGAAGACACUUAAAUUUUGAUUUACAAAAGGUUUUCCAUGGAGGGAAAACAAAAUUCUUCCCAUAUGUACAUAGUAAUAAAGUAAAUUUUACAAUGGACAUAUAUUACAUUGAUUGUUCUUUUUUUUAGCGACCAUCGUUUUUUUUUUCUUUUGACAUAAUUUAUUCUGUUUGAGAUUUGACUUAGCUUCAAUACUGUACAGUUUCCUUUGAGAUGAAUUAUUCUGUUUGAUUUUCAUAUUUAGUUUACUUAAUUUUACUGUAAUAUACUAUUUAAAAACUGUCUUAUAAUGUCACUAAAACCACACACAUGUUAAUAAUGUAACUUUUAUUUGGCAACAUUUAGAAAAUAAACACUAAAUCAUACAGAGAAAAUCUUAAGACCUAUAAUCUAAACAAAGGUUACACAGCAAUAUAUAUCGUUGUAGUGUUUGGUAGGGAUUGUUAAGUUUAUCUCUUUUUUUUGCUUUGAGAUCAUUUAUAUUUGGAGUUUGAGCAAACUUUGCUUUUGUCACUAUAAGAAAUCACUAUCAUUAUUUUUUAUUACUAUUUUUGUGUUUCUAGCAUUUUACUAUUCAGUUAAUGUAAGAGAUUUGAUAGUAGCUAUAAGGCUUUGAGCUAAACCGUCCCAUUACAUUGUUAUUAAUUAUGGUGGGAUGUAUGAGGGUCAGAAAAAACAUUUUCUCUAGUUAAAUAAGUAAAAUAGUUAAGUGGAAACUAUAACCUAUAAUAUUAUGUAAUAAUAUUGAAUUUUUCUCAAAACUAUAAAAUAGCAAGGUUAUACUUGGAUCUACUAUGACAAAGAAAUGCACUUCAUGAUAGACAACUGUUACUAAAACAAGUUUCUGUUAAUGUACUCUACACAUCUUAUGAUGCAGUCCAAAGGAACAUCUCUCAGGAAUUAUUUCUAGCCUAAACUUACUGUAAAUAUUUUGUAAUAAUAUCAUGUUCAAUAUAGUUUAAAUUUCAAUUGGAAGUAAUAUCAGUGAGUAAAGGCAACCAAAAGAACUGGUGUAAAAUUGAAAAAUAGCAUGAAAAAUAAUAAUGGGUAAGGUAGGAUCUUUUCAUGAAGAAUUUUAUAAUGAAGUAAGAAAUAUUACAAGUGCUAUAAAUUAUACAUGAUUUUCAUUUCAAGGGGAAAAAAUAUUAAAAAAAUCACUGGUAGACAGUGAUUUCAAUUUUACACCAGUUCUUUUGGUUGCCUUUACUCACUGAUAUUACUUCCAAUUGAAAUUUAAACUAUAUUGAACAUGAUAUUAUUACAAAAUAUUUACAGUAAGUUUAGGCUAGAAAUAAUUCCCGAGAGAUGUUCCUUUGGACUGCAUCAUAAGAUGUGUAGAGUACAUUAACAGAAACUUGUUUUAGUAACAGUUGUCUAUCAUUAGUUAAAUUGUAACAAGUUUUUAUUUAAAAAUUCAUAAAAUUGAAAUUGAUUUUAUUUCUAAUAUAAUUUCUAUUCUGUCCUGAUUACUCACAAUUCUGUUUUACUUCAAAUAUAGUUGAUGUUAAAAAAAUUAAUAUACAAAUAAAACAAUAAUAUAAUUUUGUUGUGUCUGGGAAGAGUCAUAGUGCCUUAAUAUAACACACUCACUGGUUCAAUUUCCACUCAUUUAGUUAUUUAUUUAUUUAUUUAUUUAUUCCAGAAAGCUUUUUCAUUGCUGCAUUUGUGACUGUAUCAAUGAAUUUUGACUCUGAUUAUCC